This 476-nucleotide ribosomal RNA is filed under the name uncultured bacterium. Its description in RNAcentral is "partial 16S ribosomal RNA". It matches the Rfam family "Bacterial small subunit ribosomal RNA", at positions 28 to 523 of the family's 1533-position model. The record is from RNAcentral.
GACGAACGCUGGCGGCGUGCUUAACACAUGCAAGUCGAGCGGUAAGGCCUUCGGGUACACGAGCGGCGAACGGGUGAGUAACACGUGGGUGAUCUGCCUCGCACUUCGGGAUAAGCCUGGGAAACUGGGUCUAAUACCGGAUAUGACCUUCCAGUGCAUGCUGGUGGGUGGAAAGAUUUAUCGGUGCGAGAUGGGCCCGCGGCCUAUUAGCUUGUUGGUGGGGUAACGGCCCACCAAGGCGGCGACGGGUAGCCGACCUGAGUGGGUGACCGGCCACACUGGGACUGAGACACGGCCCAGACUCCUAGGGGAGGCAGCAGUGGGGAAUAUUGCACAAUGGGCGAAAGCCUGAUGCAGCGACGCCGCGUGAGGGAUGACGGCCUUCGGGUUGUAAACCUCUUUCGACAGGGACGAAGCGUAAGUGACGGUACCUGUAGAAGAAGCACCGGCCAACUACGUGCCAGCCGCCGCGGUAA